AGUGAACGCUGGCGGUAGGCCUAACACAUGCCAGUCGAACGGCAGCACAGUAAGAGCUUGCUCUUACGGGUGGCGAGUGGCGGACGGGUGAGGAAUACAUCGGAAUCUACUUUUUCGUGGGGGAUAACGUAGGGAAACUUACGCUAAUACCGCAUACGACCUACGGGUGAAAGCAGGGGAUCUUCGGACCUUGCGCGAUUGAAUGAGCCGAUGUCGGAUUAGCUAGUUGGCGGGGUAAAGGCCCACCAAGGCGACGAUCCGUAGCUGGUCUGAGAGGAUGAUCAGCCACACUGGAACUGAGACACGGUCCAGACUCCUACUGGAGGCAGCAGUGGGGAAUAUUGGACAAUGGGCGCAAGCCUGAUCCAGCCAUACCGCGUGGGUGAAGAAGGCCUUCGGGUUGUAAAGCCCUUUUGUUGGGAAAGAAAAGCAGCAGGUUAAUACCCCGCUGUUCUGACGGUACCCAAAGAAUAAGCACCGGCUAACUUCGUG
This 492-nucleotide ribosomal RNA is filed under the name uncultured bacterium. RNAcentral describes it as "partial 16S ribosomal RNA". It matches the Rfam family "Bacterial small subunit ribosomal RNA", at positions 29 to 507 of the family's 1533-position model. The record is from RNAcentral.